Molecule: ribosomal RNA, 369 nt
Filed under: uncultured organism
Description: partial 16S ribosomal RNA
Rfam family: Bacterial small subunit ribosomal RNA
Source: RNAcentral
GUAGGGUCCAAGCGUUAAUCGGAAUUACUGGGCGUAAAGCGUGCGCAGGCGGUUGUGCAAGACCGAUGUGAAAUCCCCGGGCUUAACCUGGGAAUUGCAUUGGUGACUGCACGGCUAGAGUGUGUCAGAGGGGGUAGAAUUCCACGUGUAGCAGUGAAAUGCGUAGAGAUGUGGAGGAAUACCGAUGGCGAAGGCAGCCCCCUGGGAUAACACUGACGCUCAUGCACGAAAGCGUGGGGGGAGCAAACAGGAUUAGAUACCCUGGUAGUCCACGCCCUAAACGAUGUCAACUAGUUGUUGGGGAUUCAUCUCCUUAGUAACGUAGCUAACGCGUGAAGUUGACCGCCUGGGAGUACGGUCGCAAGAUUA